Molecule: ribosomal RNA, 585 nt
Filed under: bacterium 4881K2-B1
Lineage: Bacteria
Description: bacterial SSU rRNA
Rfam family: Bacterial small subunit ribosomal RNA
Source: RNAcentral
GCUUGCUACUUUGCUGACGAGCGGCGGACGGGUGAGUAAUGCUUGGGAACAUGCCUUGAGGUGGGGGACAACAGUUGGAAACGACUGCUAAUACCGCAUAAUGUCUACGGACCAAAGGGGGCUUCGGCUCUCGCCUUUAGAUUGGCCCAAGUGGGAUUAGCUAGUUGGUGAGGUAAUGGCUCACCAAGGCAACGAUCCCUAGCUGGUUUGAGAGGAUGAUCAGCCACACUGGGACUGAGACACGGCCCAGACUCCUACGGGAGGCAGCAGUGGGGAAUAUUGCACAAUGGGCGCAAGCCUGAUGCAGCCAUGCCGCGUGUGUGAAGAAGGCCUUCGGGUUGUAAAGCACUUUCAGUCAGGAGGAAAGGUUAGUAGUUAAUACCUGCUAGCUGUGACGUUACUGACAGAAGAAGCACCGGCUAACUCCGUGCCAGCAGCCGCGGUAAUACGGAGGGUGCGAGCGUUAAUCGGAAUUACUGGGCGUAAAGCGUACGCAGGCGGUUUGUUAAGCGAGAUGUGAAAGCCCCGGGCUCAACCUGGGAACUGCAUUUCGAACUGGCAAACUAGAGUGUGAUAGAGGGUGGU